AACGCCAUUAUCACACUAAA
Molecule: microRNA, 20 nt
Filed under: Alligator mississippiensis (American alligator)
Lineage: Eukaryota; Metazoa; Chordata; Crocodylia; Alligatoridae
Description: ami-miR-122-3p
Gene: ami-miR-122-3p
Source: miRBase by way of RNAcentral